UGAAUCUUUUAAGAAGUAUUG
RNAcentral lists this non-coding RNA (21 nucleotides) under Caenorhabditis elegans. Lineage: Eukaryota; Metazoa; Nematoda; Chromadorea; Rhabditida; Rhabditidae. The record is from RNAcentral.